RNAcentral lists this ribosomal RNA (664 nucleotides) under uncultured prokaryote. RNAcentral describes it as "bacterial SSU rRNA". It matches the Rfam family "Bacterial small subunit ribosomal RNA", at positions 28 to 710 of the family's 1533-position model. The record is from RNAcentral.
GAUGAACGCUGACAGAAUGCUUAACACAUGCAAGUCGAUUCGAUUUACCUUCGGGUAUUGAGGAUGGCGGACGGGUGAGUAACGCGUAAGGAACUUGCCUCUUGGUCUGGGACAACUGUUGGAAACGACAGCUAAUACCGGAUAUUAUGAGAUUCUCGCAUGGGAAACUUAUGAAAGCUAUAUGCGCCAAGAGAGAGCCUUGCGUUCCAUUAGCUAGUUGGUGGGGUAACGGCCCACCAAGGCGACGAUGGAUAGCCGGCCUGAGAGGGUGAACGGCCACAAGGGGACUGAGACACGGCCCUUACUCCUACGGGAGGCAGCAGUGGGGAAUAUUGGACAAUGGGCCACAAGCCUGAUCCAGCAAUUCUGUGUGCACGAUGAAGGUCUUCGGAUUGUAAAGUGCUUUCAGUUGGGAAGAAGAAAGUGACGGUACCAACAGAAGAAGCGACGGCUAAAUACGUGCCAGCAGCCGCGGUAAUACGUAUGUCGCAAGCGUUAUCCGGAUUUAUUGGGCGUAAAGCGCGUCUAGGCGGAAAAAUAAGUCUGAUGUUAAAAUGCGGGGCUCAACUCCGUAUUGCGUUGGAAACUGUUUUUCUAGAGUACUGGAGAGGUGGGCGGAACUACNAGUGUAGAGGUGAAAUUCGUAGAUAUUUGUAGGAAUGCC